Molecule: long non-coding RNA, 1674 nt
Filed under: Toxoplasma gondii VEG
Lineage: Eukaryota; Apicomplexa; Conoidasida; Eucoccidiorida; Sarcocystidae
Source: RNAcentral
GGAGGGGCUCCAGCUGCUGCACUGUGUGCUGCGAGACACAGGCGAGCCGAAUGCUCAUCCUUCGAGUGUACGUACAUCGAAAAUGAGAGGCACUGUCUCCCGUACCGGUUUUGCAGACUCCUCACGAACCCUGGAGUCAGGUGGACGCCCUCAACAACGAUGAGUUUCAGUGGAGAAGCGCACGCGUCAGCAUUUGUUCCUGAAUCGUCCCCUCCGUGUUUGCUGCGGUUUCCUUCGUCGAUGGACGCAGACCCCUCGCGCCCUUCCGUCCUCUCACCCAUGAGUCCGUGUAUGGUGGGGCCGAGGACUUGAUGUUGCAGAAGUAUAGACUGCUGGAGCAGCCCCAGAACUGCAGAGCAGGGAUACGACUCUUGACACGACGGACAUUUUUCUGGAAACCAAGCAGAAAACGGCUGUAGAUUCUCCUCGAUCUCUCUCCGUGUCUUCUCGACCUUCCCGGCUCUGUCCUCCGGAUCUUCGUUCCAGUUUCCCGCUGUGUCUGGACAGUCGGCGGUCUCCGGCUCCGUCUCACAGUCGUCCAAACGUUGUGCAGCGCCCCGUCUGCCGCCUCCUUCCCUCGCACACUUCGACCUUCCCUUCAGACUCUCCAGUUGCUCCUGGACCACGGAUUGCAGCUCGAAGGUGCUGUGGAACAAAAGCGGGUUCCGCGACUGGCUGAGCACUCGAGCAACCUUCCUCGUGUGAUCAGAAGACACGACCACACAGCCGUCCUCCAAACCGACGUCGUUCGAGGGACACUGUUCACUACACCGCUCUUCACUCAAAAGGCUAGCGUUCCGCGACCGAACGUUCUCCAUCAAAAGACGAGUCACAAGUGGCGCGAGCGUGCUCUUUCCGGUUCCUGACGGUCCUCCCAGAAGAAGCAGGACGGGUUUGUGUGGCGACUCAUCACCGCCAAGUCCAGACGUGCAGCGACUCCUCGAAGCCUCCCCCGUAUCGCCCUUGCCGCUAUGUGCACAGGUCUCCUUAGCGCGGCGAUUGGCUUUCUGAUUCACCAACGUAGCAGAGAAGUCUUCGACCCCCUUCAUCUCCCUGCCAGACACAGCAGUUCCAUGUUCUGCAGCGCGAGGCUCUUCGCUUCCAUCUGCCCUUCCACUUUGCUUCCCAUUCUCUCCUCCGUCUUCUCCUCCAUCUUUUAUUUCACGUGAUCUCAUUGGCCGAGGACUGUACCGCAGGCGAGUUGCAUGCACCCUGGCGGUUGCCUCCACGAUCGCCUCGCCGAGAAGCUUUGCAACCCCUCGAGGCAAACAGUCUUUCUCCGCUCGUGCCUCCGAGCACUGGUUUUCCGGCAGAGCAGCCUCUUUGCUUAAGGGAGAAAUUCCCGACGUCCUGCGGUCGCGCGUCACUCGCGUUGAACGAGAACUUUCGGGCCUUCUCUGUUCCGCAUACGUUUCGACUUCGUGGGCUUCUGUCGAAAAACACCACGGAUGGAACGGACGCAGGGUAGGGUAGACAAGAGCAGAUGUGACUAUCUCAUCUUGACGACGGACAGAGAUUUCGGGGAUCCGCGCUCGACAGAAGCGCACUUGGUCGAUUUUGUUUCGAAUAGCGGCAACUGGUGUGAAGCCGCGUGGACUUCGUUCUCCUGGCGUCCCCGCUGAAAUAUUAUGUCUCACAAACUCUGUCAUGGUUCCUGCUCGCGACGGAAUGCGG